RNAcentral lists this ribosomal RNA (253 nucleotides) under uncultured bacterium. RNAcentral's name for it is "partial 16S ribosomal RNA". It matches the Rfam family "Bacterial small subunit ribosomal RNA", at positions 524 to 776 of the family's 1533-position model. The record is from RNAcentral.
CACGGGGGGAGCAAGCGUUGUUCGGAAUCACUGGGCGUAAAGGGCGUGUAGGCGGUCAGGUAAGUGGGAUGUGAAAUGCCCCGGCUCACCCGGGGACCGGCAUCCCAAACUGCCUGGCUUGAGUAUGGGAGAGGAUGAGGGAAUUCCUGGUGUAGCGGUGAAAUGCGUAGAUAUCAGGAGGAACACCUGUGGUGUAGACAGCUUACUGGACCACUUCUGACGCUGAGACACGAAAGCGUGGGUAGCAAACAGG